UCUUAAUUAGCCAUAAUUUCUCUAUCUUACCUCAAUUCAAGAAUAAUAAAUAAAAAAUUAGGGCUCUAAUUUGAUUUAGUGAUUAGAGUGUAAAACCUCUACUGAGUGUCCUUUUGCUUGGAUGAUUGCACCAUCCAAAGAGCAAAAAUCCAAAAUCAGAGAAAAUCAUGGUGUAUUUAAAACUAACAGUAGAAAAAGAUAAUGAUAAAAAAAAAGACAAAGCCUACUGAAUGGCGAUGUCAGUAGCUAGCUCAGCCAGUUUGAUUUGUGUGUUUGCAUGUCUCUCUCUAUAUAGAUAUAUACAUGUGUGUGUGCAUAUAUAUAUAUAUAUACCUUAAAUUGUGAAAGUCCAGUAGCCGAAAGUAUCACUAACUUACAUUUUAAUCCGAGUAGCAUGAGGGUACAUAAAAUCUCAUGUGAAUCAACAAGGACCACCUUGCAAGGCUAAAUACUCCUAGGUGACCGAUAGUGAAGUAGUACCAUGAGGGAAAGAUAAAAAAACCCGCAUCAGAGAGUAAAAUAGAACAUGAAAACCGUAAGCUCCCAAGCAGUGGGAGGAGAAUGUAAUCUCUGAUCACGUAUUUAUUGAAAAAUGAGCCGGCGACUUAUAGACAGUGGCUUGAUUAAGGGAACCCAUCAGAGCAGCAGUGAAAGCGAGUCUUCAUAGGGCGAUUGUCAUUACUUAUGGACCCAGACCUAGGUGAUCUAUCCAAGAUCAGGAUGAAGCUUGGGUGAAACUAAGUGGAGGUCUGAAUUGACUGAUGUUGAAAAAUCAGUGGAUAAGUUGUGGUUAGGGUGAAAUACCACUCGAAACCAGAGCUAGCUGGUUCUGUCCGAAAUAUGUUGAGGUGCAGCAGUUGACUGAAUAUCUAGGGGUAAAUCAUUAUUUUGGUGCAGACCGCGAGAGUGGUACCAAAUCGAGGUAAACUCUGAAUACUAGAUAUGAUCCCAAAAUAACAAGAGUCAAGAUCUGCUAGUGAGAUGAUGGGAGAUAAGCUUCAUCGUCGAGAGGCCGGAAAACAGCUCGAAUCACUAGCUAAGGCCCCUAAAUGACCAGUCAGUGAUAAAAGAGGUAGGGGCACAGAGAUAGCCAAGAGAUUUGCCUAGAAGCAGCAUCCUUGAAAGAGUGUGUAAUAGCUCACUGAUCGAGCACUCUUGCAUCGAAGAUGAAUGGGGUUAAGCGAUCUGCCGAAGCUGUGGAUGUAAAAAUGCAUUGGUAGUGGAGCAUUCCGUCUUAGAGGGAAGCACCCGCGCAAGCAGGUGUGGAUGAAGCGGAAGCAAGAAUAUUGGCUUGAGUAAUGCAAACAUUGGUGAGAAUCCAAUGCCCUAAAACCUAAGGAUUCUUCCACAAGGUUCGUCCACGGAGGAUGAGUCAGGAUUUAAGAUCAGACUGAAAGGUGUAGUCGGUGGACAACAGAUAAAUAUUUCUGUACUACCCCUUAUUGGCCCCGAGAGAUGGAGAAGGCUAGGUUAGCCGAAAAAUAGUUAUCAGUUUAAGGAUGCAAGGUGAUCCUGCUUUUUCAAGGUAAGAAAAGAUAGAGAAAAUACCUUGAGCCAAUGCCUGAGUAUCAGGCGCUACGGCACUAAGGUAACCCAUGCCAUACUCCCAAAAAUAGCUUGAACAACCUUUAACAAAAGGGUACCUAUAUCCAAACUCGACACAGGUGGGUAGGUAGAGAAUACUUAGAGAUGCGAGAUAACUCUUUUUAAGGAACUCGGCAAAAUAGCCCCAUAACUUCAGGAGAAGGAGUGCCUCCUCACAAAGGGGGUCACUGCAGCUAUCAGGUUUGGGCGACUAGUUACCAAAAAUACAUGUCACUGCAAAGUCAUAAAACCAUGUAUGGGGAUUGAUGCCUGUCCAAUACUAGAAGGACAAGAACGUUGAUGACCUGAUGACAGAAGAGCCAACAACCGAAGCCCUAGUGAAUGGCGGCCGUAAUUAUAACGGUCUUAAAGUAGUGAAAUUUCUUAUCGAGUAAGUUUCAACCCGUAUGAAAGGUGUAACGAUCUGGACACUAUCUCAAAGAGAGAUUUGGUGAAAUAGACAUGUCUAUGAAGAUGCGAACUAUCUAUAUCUGGACAGAAAGAUCCUACGAAGUUUUACUAUUCCUUGGGAUUAGCUUUCGACCUUUCCUGCAUAGCUUAGGUGGAAGGUAAAGAAGACCUCCUUCUGGGGGGCUCGAGCCAUCAGUGAGAUACCACUUUGAAAGAGCUAGAAUUCAAAUCUUGUGUCAGGACCUAUGGGCUAAGGAACAGUCUCAGGUAGACAGUUUCUAUGGGACGUAGACCUCCCAAAAGGUAACAGAGGUGCGCAAAAUUUUCUUGGGUCGGACGGAGAUUGGCCUUCGAGUGCAAAGAUAGAAGAGAGCUUGAUUGCAAGACCCACCUAUCGAGUAGGGACAAAAGUCGGCUUUAGUGAUCCGACAGUGACGAGUGGAAGGACUGUCACUCAAUGGAUAAAAGUUACUCUAGGGAUAACGGCUGAUCUUCCUUAAGAGUUCACAUCAAUAGAAAGAUUUGGCACCUCGAUGUCGGCUCUUCGCCAAUUGGGGCUAUAGUAUAUUCCAAGGGUUGGGCUAUUCGUCCAUUAAAGCAGUACAUGAACUGAGUUUAGAACGUCGCGAGACAGUUCGGUUCAUAUCCGAUGCAGAUGUUGGAGCAUUGAGAGGAUCCUUUUCUAGUAUAAGAGAAUCGAGAAAGACACACCUCUGGUGUACCAAUUAUCAUCUCUACGGUAAACAUUGGGUAGCCAAGUACGGAGUGAAUAACUGCUGAAAGCAUCCAAGUAGUAAGCCCACCCCAAGAUAAGUGCUCUCCUAUUCCGACUUCCUUAGAGCCUCUGGUAGCACAGUCGAGACAGCGAUGGAUCCUUUACCCUGAGGGGAUGGAGCGACAGAGGUAUUGAGAAUCCAAGAUAAAUACACACACAUAUAUAUAUA
Molecule: ribosomal RNA, 2939 nt
Filed under: Elaeis oleifera (American oil palm)
Lineage: Eukaryota; Viridiplantae; Streptophyta; Magnoliopsida; Arecales; Arecaceae
Description: bacterial LSU rRNA
Rfam family: Bacterial large subunit ribosomal RNA
Source: RNAcentral